AGCGAUUAGAAAACGUUGUAAAAACGACGAGCUGUACAGCGGUAUAAUAUUAUACCUGCACAUACCUAGGUUAUAGUUUGUACUAUUGAACAAUGGACGAGUUUUAAAUAUUAAAAUGUACAUCACACAUUGCUGUUUGAAGAACUAUUAAUACGAAAUUUCUGGCUGAACUUGAAAAUGCAAUAAUUAUUGUUAUAAUUCACACCUCAUACGCAUAAGAUUGUUAUUAUCAAUCCAUGCGCAGGAAUGACAUUUUGUUUUUGAAAAGAAAAUUUAACGAUACCGGCGAAAGUGACGCAUUCCGCGGUGAAACAAGAUGACAACUGACGGCGGUGAUCAUUAUAUGGAGCCAGGAGCAUCAUAUUUUUCAAAAGUCAUUUGAUGAAAAAAAGAAGUUGGUAUCGCUACAGCUCACUCUUUCAAUACUAUAAAAUACUUACUAUAUCAAUUGUAUCGUCAAAAUGUCGAGAAGGAUCAACGGUACCUAUGAGUAUCACGCGUGCGUUGACAAACAAGACGGACGCAUCGAAAUAUUUGUCGCAACACUGUUUAAUGUUACGGUAAAGUUAUUACUUGUUUACAUUGAGUUUUUGAUUUUAAUGAUGCCGCAACAAUAUAUGGUAAACUGCGCACGCAGCAAUGCAGAACACUCUUUUUAGCUUCUGACAAAUAUAUCGUCGAAAAUAAUAUAAGUGCUUGAAUUAUUAUUACACUCCACGUGCGUUGCUUUGCAGAGAACAAUGUGCAUAUUCUUAUGCUAUUACGACUUCCAAAUAAUACACUCUGAACCACCUUAUACAAAGAAACCUUAAAACGCAAUAAUGAAUCCCUACAAAUUUAAUUUUGUGUUCUAAAA
Long non-coding RNA from Aphis gossypii (cotton aphid), 856 nucleotides. RefSeq lists it as uncharacterized. The transcript is spliced from 4 exons. The record is from RefSeq and is a predicted model, not a curated record. Lineage: Eukaryota; Metazoa; Arthropoda; Insecta; Hemiptera; Aphididae.